This 253-nucleotide ribosomal RNA is filed under the name uncultured bacterium. RNAcentral's name for it is "partial 16S ribosomal RNA". It matches the Rfam family "Bacterial small subunit ribosomal RNA", at positions 524 to 776 of the family's 1533-position model. The record is from RNAcentral.
UACGGAGGGUGCAAGCGUUAAUCGGAAUUACUGGGCGUAAAGCGCACGCAGGUGGCUGAGUCAGUCGAUUGUGAAAGCCCUGGGCUUAACCUGGGAAUUGCAGUCGAUACUACUCAGCUAGAGUAUGGGAGAGGGCAGUGGAAUUCCCGGUGUAGCGGUGAAAUGCGUAGAUAUCGGGAGGAACAUCAGUGGCGAAGGCGGCUGCCUGGCCCAAUACUGGCACUCAGGUGCGACAGCGUGGGGAGCAAACAGG